CCCAUGUGAAACAUAGACUAUGUCCAAUCUCAUUAUCCUGUAUCUACCCCAGCGCUUAGAAUAGUGGUUGAUACAUAGUAACCACUAAACAAUUACCCUAAAAAAUAAAAUAAAGCUGCCAUAUCCUCAACAGUCGGGGUCAGACCAGCUGAAAACCGGUUGUCUGGUCCCCUUAGGUACAACACACAUAUAAGCUUGAGGGCAUUUUCCAUUGACUCUAGUGAAGUCUGACUAGCUGCUACACUGCCUCGUUUUCAGAUUGUUUGCUCUUUCCCCAACAGCUAACAUGGAAGACUGUAGAAUAUAAUCCAGAGAAUUUCAGAAGCAGAGGCUCUUUUGUUGAUGAACAGGUGGAGCUGAAGCCGAUUAGAAGUUUGCUUACAGACUGUGAGGUCUUGUGACAUCCACGGAUAAGAUUUUCAUUUCAUAAUCUAAAUAUGCCUCGCUUUAAAAACCAGGGUGCAGGAGUACAGAAGAUGAAGAAACCUCAAGGGUCAGCCGUGGCCAAUACUUGGAAGCCUUGGAAGUUUUGUCCAGCAUCAUGACAUCUGGUUGGAGAGGGUGAAGAAUGAGGUGCAUUCCUGUUUAGAUGUCCUUGUCUCUCUGCUGACUCUCACCUUGACAGGGUGUAGAGGCAUCUUGGAGGGGACAGCUUGCGUUGACAUGCAACUGCCAUUUGACAGGAGGUGGGUGGGGCUUUUUCUAACCCUAUCAUUCGUCACUCUGUGCUGGUCUCUGAGGCUCUGUUUGGACAGGCUGGGGUGAAGGGAUGGAAGCUGCAGAGCUAACUGGACCUGUUAGAAAAGUUGGUGUUUUGACCACUGGUGGGCAGGUGGUGACUGCCUGGUCAGGACCCUGGAGGUUGGCCUGGCAGUUUCCAUGAAGUCCCA
This 890-nucleotide long non-coding RNA is filed under the name Ornithorhynchus anatinus (platypus). Its description in RNAcentral is "lncRNA (ENSOANG00000043678.1)". The record is from RNAcentral. Lineage: Eukaryota; Metazoa; Chordata; Mammalia; Monotremata; Ornithorhynchidae.